GGAUAGUCCUUGUUUGUAGUGUGGGUAUCAGGAGAAUGAGGCAAGCCAAGCUGUGAGGAGUCUGUGGGUCAUGGCUUUGGCAGCGUGGAACCUGGGACAUAGAGUCCCCCUUGAUACGGCUGUUCAGCAGACCAACUUUGUUGUAAAUAUUUAGAUAAAAAUGGGCUUUAGAGCAGCCACAUCUGAAGACCCACAAGGCUGAAUGUUACACAGGGGGAGCACCAUUAUUUAAUCUGAACAUCUGGAAUCCAUCAUGUGUAGUGAAGGACAAGAUGUAUCCUCAUUUUUAAGCCAACUCCAUGAUAAAAUUGAUGGAUGGGACCAAUGUGUACAGGUGAAGAAGAUUGAUACUUAAGAUCUGUAUGUUGUGAUAGGAAGAUCAUAAGAGGACUUUUAUUCUGCUUCAUUUUUUUUUACUUUAUUUCAUUAUAUUGUAUUUUAUUUUAUUUAUGGCACAGCAAUCAGAAUCUGAUUGAAGAUAAACUCAUCCUAUUUGGAUCAGAGCAUUAGAAGAAAGAAAGAACUGACACUUCUCAACCUUCUCUAGUUGAAGACUUCUCUUUGCUAUAACUACUUGAAGAGUUCAGCAGAAAAAUUUUACUGAAGAAUCCCUGAUCCUCCUUUAAGUAGCUGUAGAGAAUAUUCACUAAGUGUAAUGGGACACGUCUCUCUCAUGCCCACUUCUUUUCUCUUAUCCCUGCAAGAAAAUGAAGUUUUGUUGGAGUCAGAGGUUUAUUUUAGUUUAUUUUAAUCAGAAACGUGUAUGAAAUCCAAAGCACAUGAUCUUCAUUUUUAAUAACGUAAACCAUCCCCAUGUUUAUGUGCUUUCUCUGGUCCUCAACCUUUUUUUUUCUUUUUAAUUUUAAGAACAUCUGUCCCCACUGCAACUUCACUUUCAUCAGGAAAUCUAAUUACAGAGAUAGAAAAGAGUAUAGUAGGUGAAGCAAAAGACAGCAGCUCCACCUCUUAAUACUGAAUACUUAGAUGACUGCCAGAUGAAUAGCUGGAUCCUUUUGUGGCUAACUAACUCACCUGGUGUAGAGAAAGACAGUUGAUAGAUCAAAAAAGUAUACAGAUAACAGAGAGCAAGUGAUAUGGAUAUGAAAGACAUUAGGGAGCAUACAAAUGCAGUUUGGCCAGGAUUUAUUUCUAGUUAUGGACUGAUGAGGAGACAUGGGGAAAAAUUGUCAAAUUAAAAAAAAUCUUUUUGGCAAAUUUAAACUUUGCCUCUAUCCUUUUUCUCUUAAUCUGCUACCCAGAUAUGCACUUCAAAUAGGAAUGUGGGCCUACUGGGGCAUGAAAUAGUUGAGAGCUAUUCAACAAUGAGGAGAAUGAGAGAAAUCUAUUUAGAAGGACAUUUUAGAAUUUAAGCCAGUUGAACCUUAAUAGUCACAGAUAAUUUAACAUGACCCCUAAACCAUUAGGGGGGUUUUUACUACAAGGACUUGGCUCUGUAUUAACAAUGUCAUCCUUCUUAGAAAUUGAUAACUAUAGAAGUUAUCCUAUGUGGAGUAAGAUAAGAAUGACUGCUCUUCAUGUUUACAAGAGAUUAGAGUGGAUAAGAACCAGGUGAAACAGGAAUCCCAAGGGAUCUCCUUCCUUCUCAGAGUCAUAGCCAUUCCAGGGAAUCUGCACAUUUUCUGGCUUUCCCAUUUCUAUCAGAUGGUUACUUAGGAACAAAUGAAAAUCAGCAAAAGUGCCAUGAUAAUUAUCACAAAUUCGUAUGAAAUAAUGAGGCAGUUGAAUGCAUUUUUUCUGUCUUAUCUCUGUUUGUCAAUGAGCUAAACAGUGUGUUCAGGUCCCUCUGAAUACUUGGAGGAGCAAGAUUCUUUAGCCUUGUCUCACUGAUUCCCAAAGUUUAUCUAAGUCUUUCCAGAGGAGGACCUCUAUUGUCAACACUUGAUAGCCAAACCCUUCCUUUGUUUUUUUCCUUCUAUACACUACUUGUUAAUCAACUUGCACAAAACCAAUUUCUGGUUCAACUUUGUCCUGAGCUGCUAACUGGCUAUGACUUUAUUUUACAGGUGCAGUAACUUUGUUAGCUGUUAUUUUGAGGAGCUCCAGCCAUGGGCUCAUUUGAUAGAUUUAAUUGCCAACAUCUUGAACAAACCCCUUGAUUUUAAAAUUUUAAUUUAGCAUGUUUAACAUGAAAGAGGAUUGCCGAAUAAGUGUCCCAUUUGAUUUACUCUAUAAGUAAUACAGCUGUUUGUCUUUAUUUGAAAAAUAAAGGUAGACACUUAGAAAUGAAAGAUGAAAGCUUGGAAUGUGACCUGUAAGUCCAGAAAUCACAGACCAGAAAGCAAGAAAGGAACAUGAACAGCACAUGUCAAGUAUCCAGGAAUUUCUAAGUAUAAUGCAGAACUUGGGGCAUGAGAAAUAAUCUCUCUCUCUCUGUGCGUGUGUGUGUGUGUGUUUUCUUUAUCUGAGCAUGUUUUUUUAUAUACUGCCUUUUCUGGUAACUUCAUUAGGUCUGUAUAAUUAUAGUUUGCUUCAACCUUA
Homo sapiens (human) is the source of this 2499-nucleotide long non-coding RNA. The record is from Ensembl. Lineage: Eukaryota; Metazoa; Chordata; Mammalia; Primates; Hominidae.